RNAcentral lists this ribosomal RNA (497 nucleotides) under uncultured bacterium. RNAcentral's name for it is "partial 16S ribosomal RNA". It matches the Rfam family "Bacterial small subunit ribosomal RNA", at positions 28 to 507 of the family's 1533-position model. The record is from RNAcentral.
GACGAACGCUGGCGGCGUGCCUAAUACAUGCAAGUCGAGCGCUGAAGGUUGGUACUUGUUCCAACUGGAUGAGCAGCGAACGGGUGAGUAACGCGUGGGUAAUCUGCCUUUGAGCGGGGGACAACAUUUGGAAACGAAUGCUAAUACCGCAUAAUAACUUUAAACACAAGUUUUAAGUUUGAAAGAUGCAUUUGCUUCACUCUAAGAUGAUCCCGCGUUGUAUUGGCUAGUUGGUUAGGUAAAGGCUCACCAAGGCGAAGAUUCCUAGCCGACCUGGAAGGGUGGUCGGCCAAAAUGGGACUGAGAAAAGGCCCAAACUACUACGGGGGGCAGCAGGAGGGAAACUUCGGCAAAGGACGAAAGUCUGACCGGACAAAGCCGCGGGAGGGAAGAAGGGUUUCGGAUCGGAAAACUCUGUUGGUAGAGAAGAACGUUGGUGAGAGUGGAAAGCUCAUCAAGUGACGGUAACUACCCAGAAAGGGACGGCUAACUACGUG